RNAcentral lists this long non-coding RNA (673 nucleotides) under Jatropha curcas. RNAcentral's name for it is "long non-coding RNA (JCUR_LNC001271)". Lineage: Eukaryota; Viridiplantae; Streptophyta; Magnoliopsida; Malpighiales; Euphorbiaceae. The record is from RNAcentral.
UCGGUCAUGGCGUCAAAUCAAAAUUAUCUGGUAACAACCGUUCAUUGAUUAUUAGCGACAUAAUCCACUCUGACCCAUAUUUCACCAAUCAAAUAUUGGGUCUUGCUCUCAAAAGUUCUUGCUUAUACGUUAUUCGUUUUUCUUUAGUUUGUCCUGAUUUUCCCUUUCCAUUUCUCAUUGGGAGCAAAGUAUCUGUCUGGGAGACCAACAAACCCAUUCGUCAUUGGCCCUCUCCCUCAUUUGAAAAUCAGGAUUGGUUUGAUCGAAUGAGAUCAAGCUAUGCUACCCAUGGAGGUCUUCCGAGAUUUAUGAUAUUCUUCAUCUUUUCCAUUUUGAAUUGGUAGUUGAUAAGUCUCUUCUUCUUUCGGCUUCUGUCUUUUGGUUGAAAACAACCAAUGUUUUUUUUCCUUCAAGUUUGCCUCAAUGAUGCUUACCAUUUUAGACCUCGUCGCGGUCUUCCAACAGGUGAGGAAGUGUCUUCUCAUUUUUUGGCCACCAUUGACAUCUCUUUCUCUUUUGAUGAGAAUGUGAUAUCCUAUAAAUAGUGGAUCGUGAUCCAUAAAGGGAGUACUCCAAACCGCAGUGAAGAAGAACACAUAGCUUAUCUUCUGUAUUGAUUAUAUCAUUUCUUGUAUUAUGUUUCAUCCGGCCAACAGGAAUCAUCCUUUUCCCA